RNAcentral lists this unclassified non-coding RNA (715 nucleotides) under Hevea brasiliensis (rubber tree). Lineage: Eukaryota; Viridiplantae; Streptophyta; Magnoliopsida; Malpighiales; Euphorbiaceae. The record is from RNAcentral.
GACGGUAUCAGUUUGCUUGAUGAAUCGAAUUUGGUAUAUUGAAUACCCUAAAAAUUCAAAACAAAACCUAUGUUAUCUUGGUAAUUGUGAAGAAAAUUCAUAGCUGGCAACUAGUGCAAUGGAAUUUUUUUCAUUGGAAAAUUGAGAUACAAUAUGUCAAGAAAACCCAUAUUUUAGAACUUUUUUAUCUGUAGAAUUGUUAUUUCUUUUUUAAAGGAGAGACAAAUUUGGAAGCUCGAUUGACUAGAGCUGGAUUUACUAGGGCUGAGGUUUUGCUUUUUGGUUUUGGUUUAUCAAUUGUAUUACUCAUUUUAGUCUCCAUAAUAUGUCCACAAGCAAUUUUAGUUGAGUGGCUGAAUGUGGUCUUAAGCAUCACUCAUCAGUUAAUUAGUUCUAAGGUCUGCAUUUAUUUGUCUAAAUGCCUUUCAGGUUCCAUUUAAAAACAGGUUCCAUUUAAAGCUUUCCUGCAUUAUUUUUGAGAAUAGUACAGAAUGAGUUCAGUUAAUGCUUAUUUUUCGUUAUUUAUCCAGAAGCAUUUGGUGAUUUCUCGAGUAUUAAAUCUUUUUAACGUCUGUCCAAGGUGGCAGACUUUUACUGCAGCUCAUUUCUAUCAUAAAAUUCUAUAAACUUCUAGGGUUUAUAAUCAUUCUAUUAAAAUAUUUGAUAAUCACCAAAUGGAUUCUUUUCAUGCAGGCAUGCAUCGCCACUUUGUUCU